GAUGAACGCUAGCGGGAGGCCUAACACAUGCAAGCCGAGCGGUAUUGUUUCUUCGGAACUGAGAGAGCGGCGUACGGGUGCGUAACACGUGUGCAACCUGCCUUUAUCUGGGGGAUAGCCUUUCGAAAGGAAGAUUAAUACUCCAUAAUAUAUUGAACGGCAUCGUUUAAUAUUGAAAGCUCCGGCGGAUAGAGAUGGGCACGCGCAAGAUUAGCUAGUUGGUGAGGUAGCGGCUCACCAAGGCGAUGAUCUUUAGGGGGCCUGAGAGGGUGAUCCCCCACACUGGUACUGAGACACGGACCAGACUCCUACGGGAGGCAGCAGUGAGGAAUAUUGGUCAAUGGGUGCAAGCCUGAACCAGCCAUCCCGCGUGAAGGACGACUGCCCUAUGGGUUGUAAACUUCUUUUGUAUAGGGAUAAACCUACCCUCGUGAGGGUAGCUGAAGGUACUAUACGAAUAAGCACCGGCUAACUCCGUG
This 479-nucleotide ribosomal RNA is filed under the name uncultured bacterium. RNAcentral's name for it is "partial 16S ribosomal RNA". It matches the Rfam family "Bacterial small subunit ribosomal RNA", at positions 28 to 507 of the family's 1533-position model. The record is from RNAcentral.